This 533-nucleotide ribosomal RNA is filed under the name uncultured bacterium. RNAcentral describes it as "bacterial SSU rRNA". It matches the Rfam family "Bacterial small subunit ribosomal RNA", at positions 976 to 1509 of the family's 1533-position model. The record is from RNAcentral.
CGGCCUUGACAUACUAAGAACUUUCCAGAGAUGGAUUGGUGCCUUCGGGAACUUAGAUACAGGUGCUGCAUGGCUGUCGUCAGCUCGUGUCGUGAGAUGUUGGGUUAAGUCCCGNAACGAGCGCAACCCUUUUCCUAUUUGCCAGCGGGUCAUGCCGGGAACUUUAAGGAUACUGCCAGUGACAAACUGGAGGAAGGCGGGGACGACGUCAAGUCAUCAUGGCCCUUACGGCCAGGGCUACACACGUGCUACAAUGGUCGGUACAAAGGGUUGCUACCUCGCGAGAGGAUGCUAAUCUCAAAAAGCCGAUCGUAGUCCGGAUCGCAGUCUGCAACUCGACUGCGUGAAGUCGGAAUCGCUAGUAAUCGCGGAUCAGAAUGCCGCGGUGAAUACGUUCCCGGGCCUUGUACACACCGCCCGUCACGCCAUGGGAGUUUGUUGCACCAGAAGUAGGUAGUCUAACCGCAAGGAGGACGCUUACCACGGUGUGGCCGAUGACUGGGGUGAAGUCGUAACAAGGUAGGCGUAGAUGA